RNAcentral lists this ribosomal RNA (467 nucleotides) under uncultured bacterium. RNAcentral's name for it is "partial 16S ribosomal RNA". It matches the Rfam family "Bacterial small subunit ribosomal RNA", at positions 28 to 507 of the family's 1533-position model. The record is from RNAcentral.
GACGAACGCUGGCGGCGUGCUUAACACAUGCAAGUCGAACGGAAAGGCCCUGCUUUUGUGGGGUGCUCGAGUGGCGAACGGGUGAGUAACACGUGAGUAACCUGCCCUUGACUUUGGGAUAACUUCAGGAAACUGGGGCUAAUACCGGAUAGGAGCUCCUGCUGCAUGGUGGGGGUUGGAGAGUUAGGGGGUUGGGGAUGGGCUCGCGGCCUAUCAGCGUGGUGGUGGGGUAGUGGGCUAACAAGGCGUUGACCGGUAGCCGGCCUGAGAGGGGGACCGGCCACACUGGGACUGAGAUACGGCCCAGACUCCUACGGGAGGCAGCAGUAGGGAAUAUUGCACAAUGGGCGGAAGGCUGAUGCAGCAACGCCGCGUGCGGGAUGACGUGCUGCGGGUUGUAAACCGAUUUCGCCUGUGACGAAGCGUGAGUGACGGUAAUGGGUAAAGAAGCACCGGCUAACUACGUG